ACUAGAAUGAAUGGCUAAAUGAGGACUAAUCUGUCUCUUACGGACCAACCAAUGAAAUUAAUCUUUCAGUACAAAAGCUGAAAUAAAAACAUAAGACGAGAAGACCCUGUGGAGCUUCAAACCAAAAACACCCUGCAUGCUCCUCAGGUUUUUAGUUGGGGCGACUUCGGAGCACAAUAAAACCUCCAAAAUCUUUAUCUUCAAGAUUAACAAACCAAAAACUUUAUUAGACCCAGCAAGUAUAACAUUGUCUGACCACUGAACCAAGUUACCCCAGGGAUAACAGCGCCAUCCCCUCCUAGAGUCCAUAUCAACAAGGGGGUUUACGACCUCGAUGUUGGAUCAGGACACCCCAAUGGUGCAGCCGCCAUUAAAG
Molecule: ribosomal RNA, 376 nt
Filed under: Zootoca vivipara (common lizard)
Lineage: Eukaryota; Metazoa; Chordata; Lepidosauria; Squamata; Lacertidae
Description: partial 16S ribosomal RNA
Rfam family: Bacterial large subunit ribosomal RNA
Source: RNAcentral